Molecule: non-coding RNA, 959 nt
Organism: Arachis ipaensis
Lineage: Eukaryota; Viridiplantae; Streptophyta; Magnoliopsida; Fabales; Fabaceae
Source: RefSeq, a predicted model, not a curated record
AAAUCAAUUGGAAUUAGGACGGGGCAACAAGAAAAGCAUGAAAGUGUGCAUCUUCAUCGCACAAAACUCCUGCACGUCGUGAAAUUUUCCUCCGAAAGUGCUUGCGACCUUCCUCCUUGCAGAACUCCCCAGUCACUACAAGAGACGCGGGACUUAGUAGCCAAAAAUUGUCGGCUGUUGUCCCAAACCGCUGCAGCUUCAUUGAAUUGAUGCGGUUUCUCAUGCGUAAUUAAGCCUCGCUCCAAUUGUUCUGACUUGAGGCGGUUUUGGGCAUUCACCGCAUCGAAUAACCCUGGGCGCUACUGGCCUGGCCUUUCCUUUCCUUUCCUUUCGUUUUCCAUUUCUAUCAGACAACUCCAAAACACACAAACUGAAAAGUGAAAGGUGAAAAUAGCAUAGCACAACCCCCAACCCCUUUCCCUUUCCUUCUCCCCCCCUCCAUCCUACGUGUUAGUCCAAAAAAUUAAUUAGGGCUUCAUUGAUAGAACACAAUCAAGUAUCAACCAAAGCCGCAGCGCACACACUCUCUUCCUCUCCAAAUGCUUGUUCUCUUGCCCCAAAUACCACUUUUAGGUUUUUAGUGAAGAGAAAUAGCGAACAGGGAAGGGAGUGACCGCGGCGACGGAUAAAGGGCGCGUGCCCGGCUGAAGAAAUUGGCUGUGGCUCCGUGAACGACAAGCGGCGGCCGCGGUAACCGGAGGUGGCAGAUCCUCUCCUUAGUUCCCUUGGUUUGGAAUUUUAACACAAGAAGUUAGAGCCAAGGAUGUCUCUUCGUAUAAAGGCUGUGGUAGAUAAGUUUGUUCAAGAGUUGAAAGAAGCAUUAGAUGCUGAUAUUCAAGAUAGGAUCAUGAAGGAGAGAGAUGCAAAGUUAUAUUGAAGAGCGUGAGCGUGAAGUAGCGGAGCGUGAAGCUGCAUGGAAGGCUGAACUUUCUCGUCGUGAGAUAAUAAUAACCAAUGAA